UACGUAGGGUGCGAGCGUUGUCCGGAAUUAUUGGGCGUAAAGAGCUCGUAGGCGGUCUGUCGCGUCGGUCGUGAAAACUUGGGGCUUAACCCUGAGCUUGCGGUCGAUACGGGCAUGACUGGAGUUCGGCAGGGGAGACUGGAAUUCCUGGUGUAGCGGUGAAAUGCGCAGAUAUCAGGAGGAACACCGGUGGCGAAGGCGGGUCUCUGGGCCGGUACUGACGCUGAGACGCGAAAGCGUGGGGAGCGAACAGG
RNAcentral lists this ribosomal RNA (254 nucleotides) under uncultured bacterium. Its description in RNAcentral is "partial 16S ribosomal RNA". It matches the Rfam family "Bacterial small subunit ribosomal RNA", at positions 524 to 776 of the family's 1533-position model. The record is from RNAcentral.